RNAcentral lists this ribosomal RNA (660 nucleotides) under uncultured bacterium. RNAcentral's name for it is "bacterial SSU rRNA". It matches the Rfam family "Bacterial small subunit ribosomal RNA", at positions 62 to 705 of the family's 1533-position model. The record is from RNAcentral.
UCGAGCGGAAUGACGAGAGCUUGCUCUCUGAUUUUAGCGGCGGACGGGUGAGUAACACGUGGGCAACCUGCCCUACAGAUGGGGAUAACUCCGGGAAACCGGGGCUAAUACCGAAUAAUCAGUUUGUCCGCAUGGACAAACUCUGAAAGACGGUUUCGGCUGUCACUGUAGGAUGGGCCCGCGGCGCAUUAGCUAGUUGGUGGGGUAAUGGCCUACCAAGGCAACGAUGCGUAGCCGACCUGAGAGGGUGAUCGGCCACACUGGGACUGAGACACGGCCCAGACUCCUACGGGAGGCAGCAGUAGGGAAUCUUCCACAAUGGACGAAAGUCUGAUGGAGCAAUGCCGCGUGAGCGAAGAAGGUUUUCGGAUCGUAAAGCUCUGUUGUAAGGGAAGAACACGUACGGGAGUAACUGCCCGUGCCAUGACGGUACCUUAUUAGAAAGCCACGGCUAACUACGUGCCAGCAGCCGCGGUAAUACGUAGGUGGCAAGCGUUGUCCGGAAUUAUUGGGCGUAAAGCGCGCGCAGGCGGUUCUUUAAGUCUGAUGUGAUAGCCCACGGCUCAACCGUGGAGGGUCAUUGGAAACUGGAGAACUUGAGUACAGAAGAGGAAAGCGGAAUUCCACGUGUAGCGGUGAAAUGCGUAGAGAUGUGGAGGA